AUGAAAGGGGCCUCCUUUCAUACAGAAAUCAUAUAAUUAAGCAGCACAUUCUAACAUAGCUUCCACAAUCUCGAAAGAUACUGAGCUUCCUGUAUCGAUCAAUGUUCAAAUAUAUCUCUAUAAGAGUUCCAAUCAUGAGAAGAUAAACCAUACGAGCAUUCAUCCUCCUAGCAAUGUAAAGCAUAAAUAUGAGCUUGUGCUUUAUAAUACAACUUGUACUACCCA
This 225-nucleotide long non-coding RNA is filed under the name Elaeis guineensis (African oil palm). RNAcentral describes it as "long non-coding RNA (EGUI_LNC050979)". The record is from RNAcentral. Lineage: Eukaryota; Viridiplantae; Streptophyta; Magnoliopsida; Arecales; Arecaceae.